AGAGUUUGAUCCUGGCUCAGGACGAACGCUGGCGGCGUGCUUAACACAUGCAAGUCGAACGGUAAGGCCCUUCGGGGUACACGAGUGGCGAACGGGUGAGUAACACGUGGGUAAUCUGCCCUGCACAUCGGGAUAAGCCUGGGAAACUGGGUCUAAUACCGAAUAGGACCACAGGACACAUGUCCUGUGGUGGAAAGCUUUUGCGGUGUGGGAUGGGCCCGCGGCCUAUCAGCUUGUUGGUGGGGUGAUGGCCUACCAAGGCGACGACGGGUAGCCGGCCUGAGAGGGUGUCCGGCCACACUGGGACUGAGAUACGGCCCAGACUCCUACGGGAGGCAGCAGUGGGGAAUAUUGCACAAUGGGCGAAAGCCUGAUGCAGCGACGCCGCGUGGGGGAUGACGGCCUUCGGGUUGUAAACCUCUUUCACCAUCGACGAAGGUCCGGGUUUUCUCGGGCUGACGGUAGGUGGAGAAGAAGCACCGGCCAACUACGUGCCAGCAGCCGCGGUAAUACGUAGGGUGCGAGCGUUGUCCGGAAUUACUGGGCGUAAAGAGCUCGUAGGUGGUUUGUCGCGUUGUUCGUGAAAUCUCACGGCUUAACUGUGAGCGUGCGGGCGAUACGGGCAGACUUGAGUACUGCAGGGGAGACUGGAAUUCCUGGUGUAGCGGUGGAAUGCGCAGAUAUCAGGAGGAACACCAGUGGCGAAGGCGGGUCUCUGGGCAGUAACUGACGCUGAGGAGCGAAAGCGUGGGGAGCGAACAGGAUUAGAUACCCUGGUAGUCC
Molecule: ribosomal RNA, 783 nt
Filed under: uncultured bacterium
Lineage: Bacteria
Description: bacterial SSU rRNA
Rfam family: Bacterial small subunit ribosomal RNA
Source: RNAcentral